Molecule: RNA transcript, 5005 nt
Organism: Dama dama (fallow deer)
Lineage: Eukaryota; Metazoa; Chordata; Mammalia; Artiodactyla; Cervidae
Gene: MEAK7
Gene name: MTOR associated protein, eak-7 homolog
Exons: 10
Source: RefSeq, a predicted model, not a curated record
AGGAAAUAUUGUUGAUGGCAUUGUGGUUAGAGUCCCGCCAGCCACAGGGACAGAUGGGGAACAGCAAGAGUCACCCAGAACAGGAGUUCUCCUCGCGGUUUCUCCCCGGGGAGCAGGCUGAGGUCAACAGGCUGUUCGAUGCUCUGUCGUCGGAGAAUCUUGGCUCCAGUACCUCGCACAGAUCCUUCUCUCUGCAGGCACUGAAGGCAAGGGGCCAUGUGGGGGACGCUCUUCCCCCAGAGAUGGUCACCAGACUGUUCGAGGGCAUGCAGAGGGUGGACGGCAGCAGGAAGGCAAAGGGGCCCAGCGAGCACAUCUCCCAGAAGCAGUUCACAGUGUCCAUGUCCCACCUGUUGAAAGGAACUGCCGAGGAGAAGAGUCUCGUGAUCCUGAACAUGAUUUCUGCCUCAGGAGGUCCUGUGAAAGCAAGAGAUGUCUACAAGUUUACAGAGGACCUGGUUGGCUCUGUGGUGCAUGUGCUAAACUACAGACAGGAGCUGCGAGGCUGGAGUCAGAAGCCACCCCCAGGCUCCCCGUCCAGGGUGCAGGUGCUGGCCGCCCAGCUGUGCUCCGAGAUGAAGCUUCAAGGUGGCGGGAAGCUUCUGGGGCCUCAGUGGCUGGACUGUGACUGUGACGAGGCUGUGCUGGAGGACUGGGUGUUCCGGGCCCACCAAGUGGCCACGUUUCUGAGCCUGAUCAUCCACCAGGGCUUCCUCCUCCUGUGCUCGACCCUCGAGCUGGCCGCCCUGGUCCCCAAGCGCCAGGUGGACCCGCAGCGGGAGUUUGCCAGCCUCCUGGACAUCCUGUCUGUCAUCUACAUCAACUCACACCUGCCCCAGGAGCGGCGGCUCCGCUGGCGCCUGCUCUUCGCCACUGAGCUCCACGGGAACAGCUUUGCCCAGCUCUGCGGGCGCAUCACACACAGGGGGCCCUGCCUGGUGCUGCUUGAGGACUGUGACGGCCACGUGUUUGGGGGCUUUGCCUCCUGCUCCUGGGAAGUCAAGCCUCAGUUUCAAGGGGACGACAGGUGCUUCCUGUUCUCCAUCUCCCCCAGCAUGGCUGUGUACACUUGCACGGGCUACAACGACCACUACAUGUACCUGAAUCAAGGGCGGAAGACCAUCCCCAACGGUCUGGUGACCUCAGCCUGCAGCAGCUUGAAGCAGGGUUUUGGUACCCAGCCAGCGAUGGAGGUCAGGUUGUGGCAGUGAGAGAGUGGAAUCCUAGCCCCCAGACUGGUGGUCAGGGACAGGGUAGUGCCAGCUCCUGCCCAAGCUUCCGGCCUGUCCUGCAGACGUCAGUCUCGCCAGCCCCGACAAUGAGGUUCCUCACGGUUCAUCCCAGGGCCCGGCAGGACGGAACAGUGGAUGCCCACGGGGACCGAGGACUCAGGGCUGGGCCUGUGCUCCCCACUGGCUCCCCAGGAACAGCUAGUGUUUCAGGCACAGGAGGCCCAGCUACCCCGCACAGCUUUCACAGAAAGAUGGUGGGGCUGCCGGAAGCCUGGGGAGGACGCUGGGGAGCAUGCCUGGGGUUCCGUCCAGGGCGGGUGUGCUUGGGACCCGGAGGGCCGCAGUGGUCUCUACGUGUGGCCUUCUCAGCAGGAACUGCUGGCUGGCCCAGUCUGGUCUCCAGGUAAGCAGGGUCCCUGUCACACAGGCCCCGUUACAGCCCCUGGCGGGCUUACACACUCCUAGGGCUUACACACUCCUAGGCCCGGGCAGCAUGUCAGAGGCUGAGCCAGCGUAGACCGUGGUCCAUCCAGCUGCCCCGGGGCCUCACCGCACCCACCUGGGGCCUCUUGUCCCAGGAUGGAAGGGGGGUGGCCAGGGUGUUGCGAUCCCUCUGCCCUCCCCUGACUCCCAGCAGGGGCUCCAGCCCCUGAGUCUCGCACCUUCUCCACACCCACACUGCGUCCCCCGCUCCCGCCCGGUGCUCAUGUUCAGGCACAAGCCCAGUCCCCUGGGGACAGGAUGGCCCCUCGAGGGGACUUCACGCCCCGGGCAGGCAGUGAGGACAGCCCCCGGUGAGCCCUCCCACUCACCGAGCGCCCCCAGGCUCUCCGUCUGGAAGACCCUCUGCAGGGGCGGCGUGUAGAUGACGGCCAGCUGGCCCAGGAUGGAGCCAAGCACGGAGUAAAGGAACGUGCGGUUCCGGAGGAAGCCGAUCUCGAAGAUCAGCUUGGUCUGCAGGGGAGAAGAGCAGUCAGCGCAUAGGAGCCGCUGGAGCACUCGGGCCGGGAGGCCGCCAUCCCGUCCUGCCGGGGGCUCACCUGGGAGCGGCAGGUCAAGGCGUUGAAGAGGUCGAAGAGCACGAAGCAGGUCACUGGCUCUCUCAGCACAGGGGUGCCUGAACCUGCGGGGCCACAGAAAGGUGACCCAUGGAAAGACCCCCUGCCUACAGAGGAGAAAAGAGUCUCUUCAGACUGGACUGCUACAGGUAAAAGAGUGAAAUCAGAACAUUCUCUAACACCACACACAGAGAUAAACUCAAAAUGGAUUAAAGAUCUAAAUGUAAGACUUGAUACUGUAAAUCUCAGAGGAGAACAGGAAAAACACUGGCGUAAACCACAGCAACACUUUCUCUGAUCCUCCUCCUCAAGUAAUGAAAGUAACAACGAAAAUAAACACGUGGGACCUCGUUAAACUUACUUCAGACUGCGAAAUGUAACAUGGCAGGGGUUUUUGUGUGCUUGACACCGUGUCCGGGAAGGAAGGGCCUGAACCUGGAAGCUUUGGAGCCUGCUGGUCCAGGCCUCACAGGGCUGGCUGACCCUCAAAGGCCCAGUGGACCUUGGUCCAAAAGGUAAGUUUGUUGCUUUGUAAAGCCAUUUUAGUGUCCUUGACCAAGAGGACGAUGCAAGAGGCAUCGUUGCCUGGAUGAAUAGAGGGUGUGCUUUCAAGCCCUGAGACCCUGAGUCUAAGAGCUUAGAUUUUUUCCCCAUGUAUUUUUAAUUGGAGGAUAACUGUGAACAGUGUCAUGUUGAUUUCUGCUGCACACGCCGUGAAUCGGCUGGAAGUAUGCACGUGCUGCCUCCCCCCUGAGCUAGCAUCCUGCCCGUCUCGGUCAUCACAGAGCUCCGGGCUGAGCUCCCCACGCGGUGCCGCAGCACCCCACUAGAUGUCUCUCUCACACCGGGGAAAGUGGGUGUUUCGGUGCUACUUCCCGGAGCUAGAUCCUCACGGAACAUUCCUCUGAGGACUUUUCCGGUUGUCCUUGAUAUUUCUAAGUCAAUGAGGAGUAUCCAGUUUUCAAGUCUUAACAGCUACUUCUGGGGACUUGGCCCUCAUCUCUGGGAUUUGAAUGGGAGGGAGUCAUGGCCCACCUUCCUCUCUUAGAAGCUUACAGUGAUCAUGUUUCUCUGCUCCCCUUGGGGAUUCCUCUCUUUCUUGCCUCACAGUUUGCCGCUUACAGUGGAGGCUCAGCAGGCAGGAUGACAGUGCUGCAGUUCUUUCUGGACCUCUGGCAAAAGGGAGUCGGCAGGGAAGACCACCACUCCCCCAAGGCUGGGUGUUCUUGGUACGUGCUGUCCACAGCCCUUCACUGUUCUCAGAACCCUUUGCCAGUGCACUAAUCUCUUUGGAGAUAGACAUGUUAAGUUUCUUUUGCACAAUACUUAGUACAGUGUCUGAAUUAAUUAUUAACAUUUAAAAUAUGUUCUUUCUUAACUCCCCCAUUUGCUUUGCUCACAGCCUAUUCUGUUCCUUCGUUUGGCAGAAUUCUGCAACCUCACCCACUACUGAGAUUGCUCGGUCCCUGAUGUAUUGGUAUUGAUUUGUUUCUAGUGGCAGCUUGUCCUAAAAUGUGGGUAACAAGCAGCUGUUUCAUAAUAAAGUUGUUGCGUAGUACAUGCUCUGUGUGGAAUGCAGAGAAAGAUCCAGAUUCCGCGUAACAGUGCCAAAAAAUAUAAGUAGCCAUUGUUCAAUUCACAGUAGUGCUAUUUCUCUUUCGUGGCCUUUUAGACUUUUGUUGCCCUAAAAUUUCAUUUUGUUGGGAGCCCGCAUUUUCUACCUGGUAUUUCUUGACAGGAUUUUUUUUUUUCUACUUUAGUUUCUAAAUAAGAUUCUGUAUUUCAAAAAAGAAAACACUUUUGCACAGCAAAGGAAGUCAUAAGCAAAUGAAAAGACAACCCUCAGAACGGGAGAAAAUAAAGCAACCAAUAAGGGAUCAAUCUCCAAAAUAUACAAACAACCCAAUAAAAAAAUGGACAUAAGAACAAAAUAGACAUUUUUCCAAAGAUGAUGUACAGAUAGAUGGCCAAGAGGCACAUGAAAAUAUGCUCAACAUUGCUAAUUAUUAGACAAAUGUAAAUCAAAACUGCAAUCAGAUACCAGCUCCCACCAGUCAGAAUGCCCAUCAUCAAGAAGUCUAUAAACGCUGGAGAAGGUAUGGAGGAGGGCAACCCUCUUACACUGUUGAUGGGAAUGUAAAUUAGCGCAGCCACUAUGGAGAACAGUAUGGAAGUUCCUUAAAAAACUAAAAAUAGAAUUACCUUAAGAUCCAGCAGUCCCAUUCCUGGGCAUAUAUCUGGAGAAAAUCACAAUUUGAAAAGAUACACGCACCCUGAUGUUCAUAGCAGCACUAGUCACAAUGGCCAAGCCAUGGAAGCAGCUUAAGUCUCCAUCGGCAGAGGAAUGGAGAAAGAUGUGGGGGGUGUGUGUAUAUUAUAUAUAAUGGAAUAUUACUCAGCCAUAAAGAAUGAAACAAUGCCAUUUGCAGCAACAUGGAUGGACCUGGAGAUUAUCACACUAAGUCAGACAGAGAAAGACAAAUAUGAUAUUGCUGGAUGUGGAAUCUAAAAAAAAAUGAUUCAAAUGAACUUCUUUACAGAACAGAAACAGCCUCACCGACUUCAAAAACAAACUUCAUAGUUAACAAAGGGGAAACGUGGAGGGGAGGGAUAAACUGGGACUCCGGGAUGAAUUUAUAUAAAAGGACUUACUGUAUAUAGCACAGGGAACUCUACUCAAUAUCCUGUAAUAAACUGUAGUAAUAAUCUGAAAAA